RNAcentral lists this ribosomal RNA (612 nucleotides) under uncultured fungus. RNAcentral's name for it is "eukaryotic LSU rRNA". It matches the Rfam family "Eukaryotic large subunit ribosomal RNA", at positions 23 to 641 of the family's 3401-position model. Lineage: Eukaryota; Fungi. The record is from RNAcentral.
ACCCGCUGAACUUAAGCAUAUCACUAAGCGGAGGAAAAGAAAUUAACGAAGAUUGCCUCAGUAGCGGCGAGCGAAGUGGCAAAAGCUCAAGUUAAAUCUGUGGUCUUUGAUCACCGAAUUGUAAUCUAAAGGGGUUAACAAAAGGGAAGAUUGAGGCAUAAGUUGCUUGGAACAGCACGCCAAAGAGGGUGAUAGCCCCGUAUUUGGCCUUCAUCGACCUGAAUGUUGACUUUCAUAGAGUCGGGUUGUUUGGGAUUGCAGCCCUAAAUGGGAGAUAAACUUCUUCUAAGGCUAAAUAUCGAUGGGAAACCGAUAGCAAACAAGUACUGUGAAGGAAAGAUGAAAAGAACUUUGAAAAGAGGGUUAAAAGACUUGAAAUCGUUGAGAAGGAAGCGGUAGAAGUGGAUUAUUUGGCUAUGAAGUAAGCCACGUGUUUGGUAAUCUGCAGCGGUGAUGUACGUAAAUGGCUAGCUGUUGCAGUGUUGUCGACUUGUGGUGAUUUCAUGGUCAAAAGACAGAUCUAUGUCUGUGCAUAUCGGAAUCAGGGUAGUUGAAGAUUAAGCUUCUAUCCAAAACGAUAUGUUGGCAUAUCUCUUCUGUCAAAACGGCUUC